GUGGGGAAUAUUGCACAAUGGGCGAAAGCCUGAUGCAGCAACGCCGCGUGAGGGACGACGGCCUUCGGGUUGUAAACCUCUUUUAGUAGGGAAGAAGCGAAAGUGACGGUACCUGCAGAAAAAGCACCGGCUAACUACGUGCCAGCAGCCGCGGUAAUACGUAGGGUGCAAGCGUUAUCCGGAAUUAUUGGGCGUAAAGAGCUCGUAGGCGGUCUGUCGCGUCUGCUUUGAAAACUGGAGGCUCAACCUCCAGCCUGCAGUGGGUACGGGCAGACUAGAGUGCGGUAGGGGAGAUUGGAAUUCCUGGUGUAGCGGUGGAAUGCGCAGAUAUCAGGAGGAACACCGAUGGCGAAGGCAGAUCUCUGGGCCGUAACUGACGCUGAGGAGCGAAAGCGUGGGGAGCGAACAGGAUUAGAUACCCGUGUAGUCC
This 430-nucleotide ribosomal RNA is filed under the name uncultured bacterium. RNAcentral's name for it is "partial 16S ribosomal RNA". It matches the Rfam family "Bacterial small subunit ribosomal RNA", at positions 354 to 796 of the family's 1533-position model. The record is from RNAcentral.